This is a microRNA precursor of Homo sapiens (human), 77 nucleotides long. NCBI's taxonomy places the organism in Eukaryota, Metazoa, Chordata, Mammalia, Primates, Hominidae. The record is from Ensembl.
CCUGGGGGGCGGGGAGAGAACGCAGUGACGUCUGGCCGCGUGCGCAUGUCGGGCGCUUUCUCCUCCCCCUACCCAGG